Molecule: ribosomal RNA, 253 nt
Filed under: uncultured bacterium
Lineage: Bacteria
Description: partial 16S ribosomal RNA
Rfam family: Bacterial small subunit ribosomal RNA
Source: RNAcentral
GACAGAGGUGGCUAGCGUUGUUCGGAUUUAUUGGGCGUAAAGAGCGCGUAGGUGGUCUUUUAAGUCGGGGGUGAAAUCCCGGGGCUUAACCCCGGAAUUGCCUUCGAUACUGGAAGACUUGAGUGCGGGAGAGGGUAGUGGAAUUCCCAGUGUAGAGGUGAAAUUCGUAGAUAUUGGGAAGAACACCGGUGGCGAAGGCGGCUACCUGGACCGCAACUGACACUGAGGCGCGAAAGCGUGGGGAGCAAACAGG